AUGGCUCCUCUUGGUGACGCUGUUGCCCCCGCGUCCGCCGCCGCCCCAGGCCUCGUCGUCUCUUUCGGCGAGAUGUUGAUCGACUUCGUGCCUGACGUUGCCGGGGUCUCCCUCGCCGAGUCCGGCGGCUUCGUCAAGGCGCCUGGAGGCGCGCCCGCCAACGUUGCUUGCGCCAUCUCCAAGCUCGGCGGCUCCUCUGCCUUCAUCGGAAAGUUUGGCGAUGACGAGUUCGGCCACAUGCUGGUGGAGAUCCUGAAGCAGAACGGCGUGAACGCCGAGGGCUGCCUGUUCGACCAGCACGCGCGCACGGCCCUGGCCUUCGUCACGCUCAAGUCCAACGGCGAGCGUGAGUUCAUGUUCUACCGCAACCCGUCGGCCGACAUGCUCCUGACCGAGGCCGAGCUCAACCUGGACCUGAUCCGCCGCGCCCGCAUCUUUCACUACGGCUCCAUCUCGCUCAUCACCGAGCCCUGCCGCUCGGCGCACGUCGCCGCCAUGCGUGCCGCCAAGUCGGCCGGCAUCCUCUGCUCGUACGACCCCAACGUCCGCCUGCCGCUCUGGCCCUCGGCGCAGGCCGCCCGCGACGGCAUCAUGAGCAUCUGGAAGGAGGCCGACUUCAUCAAGGUGAGCGACGACGAGGUGGCCUUCCUCACCCAGGGCGACGCCACCGACGAGAAGAACGUGCUCUCGCUCUGGUUUGAGGGACUCAAGCUGCUCAUCGUCACCGACGGCGAGAAGGGGUGCAGGUACUUCACCAAGGACUUCAAGGGCUCCGUGCCCGGCUACUCUGUCAACACCGUCGACACCACCGGCGCCGGCGACGCCUUCGUCGGCUCCCUCCUCGUCAGCGUCUCCAAGGACGACUCCAUCUUCUACAAUGAGGCGAAGCUGAGGGAGGUGCUGCAGUUCUCGAACGCUUGCGGCGCCAUCUGCACCACCAAGAAGGGAGCCAUCCCGGCGCUGCCCACCACCGCCACCGCCCUGGAGCUCAUCAGCAAGGGCAGCAACUAG
Molecule: ribosomal RNA, 1011 nt
Filed under: Triticum aestivum (bread wheat)
Lineage: Eukaryota; Viridiplantae; Streptophyta; Magnoliopsida; Poales; Poaceae
Description: partial small subunit ribosomal RNA
Source: RNAcentral